UGAGUAACCUGCCCUUAACUCUGGGAUAAGCCUGGGAAACUGGGUCUAAUACCGGAUAUGACUCCUCAUCGCGUGGUGGGGGGUGGACAGCUUUUUUGUGGUUUUGGAUGGACUCGCGGCCUAUCAGCUUGUUGGUGAGGUAAUGGCUCACCAAGGCGACGACGGGUAGCCGGCCUGAGAGGGUGACCGGCCACACUGGGACUGAGACACGGCCCAGACCUCCGUACGGGAGGCAG
Molecule: ribosomal RNA, 236 nt
Filed under: uncultured bacterium
Lineage: Bacteria
Description: partial 16S ribosomal RNA
Rfam family: Bacterial small subunit ribosomal RNA
Source: RNAcentral